AACGAACGCUGGCGGCAUGCUUAACACAUGCAAGUCGAACGGUAACAGAGGUGCUUGCACCUGCUGACGAGUGGCGAACGGGUGAGUAACGCGUGGAUACCUACCCCGGGGCGGGGGACAACAGUUGGAAACGACUGCUAAUACCGCAUACGACCUUCGGGUGAAAGAUUUAUCACCCUGGGAGGGGUCCGCGUUAGAUUAGCUAGUUGGUGGGGUAAAGGCCUACCAAGGCGACGAUCUAUAGCUGGUCUGAGAGGAUGAUCAGCCACACUGGGACUGAGACACGGCCCAG
RNAcentral lists this ribosomal RNA (292 nucleotides) under uncultured bacterium. RNAcentral's name for it is "partial 16S ribosomal RNA". It matches the Rfam family "Bacterial small subunit ribosomal RNA", at positions 29 to 334 of the family's 1533-position model. The record is from RNAcentral.